GCCUACGGCCAUACCACCCUGAGAACGCCCGAUCUCGUCUGAUCUCGGAAGCUAAGCAGGGUCGGGCCCGGUUAGUACUUGGAUGGGAGACCGCCUGGGAAUACCGGGUGCUGUAGGGU
RNAcentral lists this ribosomal RNA (119 nucleotides) under Cettia cetti. The record is from RNAcentral. Lineage: Eukaryota; Metazoa; Chordata; Aves; Passeriformes; Sylviidae. RNAcentral also lists the same sequence under 1 other name.